RNAcentral lists this ribosomal RNA (453 nucleotides) under Neisseria sicca. Its description in RNAcentral is "bacterial SSU rRNA". It matches the Rfam family "Bacterial small subunit ribosomal RNA", at positions 30 to 463 of the family's 1533-position model. Lineage: Bacteria; Pseudomonadati; Pseudomonadota; Betaproteobacteria; Neisseriales; Neisseriaceae. The record is from RNAcentral.
AUUGAACGCUGGCGGCAUGCUUUACACAUGCAAGUCGGACGGCAGCACAGAGAAGCUUGCUUCUUGGGUGGCGAGUGGCGAACGGGUGAGUAACAUAUCGGAACGUACCGGGCAGUGGGGGAUAACUAAUCGAAAGAUUAGCUAAUACCGCAUAUCUUCUGAGGAAGAAAGCAGGGGACCAUUUGGCCUUGCGCUGUUUGAGCGGCCGAUAUCUGAUUAGCUAGUUGGUGGGGUAAAGGCCUACCAAGGCGACGAUCAGUAGCGGGUCUGAGAGGAUGAUCCGCCACACUGGGACUGAGACACGGCCCAGACUCCUACGGGAGGCAGCAGUGGGGAAUUUUGGACAAAUGGGGCGCAAAGCCCUGAUCCCAGCCAUGCCCGCGUGUCUGAAAGAAAGGGCCCUUUCGGGUUGUAAAAGGAACUUUUGUCCAGGGAAGAAAAAGGCGGGGGUAA